RNAcentral lists this transfer RNA (56 nucleotides) under Diaphanoeca grandis. Lineage: Eukaryota; Choanoflagellata; Acanthoecida; Stephanoecidae. The record is from RNAcentral.
AUUGCUUUGGUGGUUGUUUUCAUCGGCGAGGGGGUUGCAAAUGAUGAGAGCACACG